Molecule: ribosomal RNA, 378 nt
Filed under: uncultured eukaryote
Lineage: Eukaryota
Description: partial 18S ribosomal RNA
Rfam family: Eukaryotic small subunit ribosomal RNA
Source: RNAcentral
CAAUAGCGUAUAUUUAAGUUGCUGCAGUUAAAAAGCUCGUAGUUGGAUUUCGGGUGGGAAUGGCCGGUCCGCCGUUUCGGUGUGCACUUGCUACGCCCACCUUGCUGCCGGGGACGUGCUCUUGAGUUCACGCUCGGGACACGGAGUCGGCGAGGUUACUUUGAGUAAAUUAGAGUGUUCAAAGCAGGCCUACGCUCUGAAUACAUUAGCGUGGAAUAACACGAUAGGACUCUGGCCUAUCUUGUUGGUCUGUAGGACCGGAGUAAUGAUUAAGAGGGACAGUCGGGGGCAUUCGUAUUUCAUUGUCAGAGGUGAAAUUCUUGGAUUUAUGAAAGACGAACUACUGCGAAAGCAUUUGCCAAGGAUGUUUUCAUUAAC